UAGAAAACAACCAACCCGAGGUAGAUCGCUGCCGCAGGGGGUGGUGCUGUCGUCGGAGUACGGCGGAGCCGCCAUGCUGGAUUUCUGAAAUUGGCUGAGUAGGCCCUGGGACUAAUUUUUGGAUUUAUUUGGGACACUUGUAGGUACUAUAAGCGCGUUUUAGUUUUCGAAGGAAAAUUUAAGGAACCUAGGGACCACCUGUAGGCCCAGUAACCAUCUAGUUUUCAGCGUCGAAUCAAGUAAGGAUCCCUCACUCUAUUUCCUAUCAUGGAAUUAAAGUUCAAAUAAAUAAUAAUAUGGUCCUUUGUACAAAUUACAUGGAU
RNAcentral lists this long non-coding RNA (323 nucleotides) under Carica papaya (papaya). RNAcentral describes it as "long non-coding RNA (CPAP_LNC002906)". The record is from RNAcentral. Lineage: Eukaryota; Viridiplantae; Streptophyta; Magnoliopsida; Brassicales; Caricaceae.